Non-coding RNA from Lolium perenne, 1245 nucleotides. NCBI's taxonomy places the organism in Eukaryota, Viridiplantae, Streptophyta, Magnoliopsida, Poales, Poaceae. The record is from RefSeq and is a predicted model, not a curated record.
CCACUCGUCAGUCGCUUGGGUGGGUUUCCAGUUAGUUAGGCGUGGCUGGGGGCGUAAGGGGUUGGCUGCCCACCCAAUCCCCACUCACGUUUCUCUCUCCCCCAAUCCCCACUCACGGUUCCUCUCCCCCAAUCCCCAUGGUUCUUCUUCCAAUUCCUCAACCCUAGGCCAAUCCCGACCCUGCUCGCCGCCAGCUCCUGCCCCUCUCUCUUCCUCGGCUCCAAUGGAGCGAAGCCGGCGACGCGAGGCCUCCUCCCCUUUCCACGGUUCCUGAGCAGGCGCGCACGCGAGCGCGCAAGGGCAUGCGCGGGGCGGGCUGGUGACCAAGGCGAGGCCAGCAGGUGACGGUGGUGAGGGGCCUAUGCGCGGCGGGCUGCUGCUGUGCUCCGCCUCUCCAUCCCCCCAUCGAGGCGGAGGACGACAUGGCACCAGCGACGUCGCAGGAGCAUGCACCCGAGACGGCCAUCCAUGGCGCUAUUGUUGUCGAUCUGUCUGUCGCUGCUGUGUGCUCCGCCCCGCUGCCCUCCUCCUCUCCUCACUCUCCAUGAGCUCACGCCGAUAUGCCGUGACAUCCCACAAAACCGGCGGCGUGAGGAGGCCGUGGAUGGCGCUACUACUGCACGAUUCGUCGCCACUGAGAUAUAUCAUGUAAUUUCACUUGGAGAGGAGAAGAGAAGCGAAGAGGAAGUGGAAGAGGAAGUGGCAGAUCUAUGGGAGAAUCCCAAAAUACAUAUAUUUGAAUUUGGUACCCACCUAAAUGUGCAUAUGGUAUUCCCGGAAGAUGUUAUAUUGGUUGCUUGGAUUCUCUCGGAAUGCUAUUCUAUAUGUACGUAUGAGCGUCGAACAUAGGUGUACCUGCCAUAUGUAUGGAGCUUAUAUGCUCCUAUUGCGGAAAAUAAUCGAGUAUGAAGAAAAUAAUAUGACGCUGGUCUGUCCCUAAUCCCUUCUUUCAUGCCCAGGUGAGUUCAGAUGUUCUACUUCUCAUAGCUGCUUAUGAGUCAUAUUUACAGAUCUGUAAUGAUUAUGUAAUUAUAUUUUGUAUUGCCGCUUUUCAUUUUUAUUCUAGGUCAUUUGUUCAACCAAAAAAUAUGUUGGUCUUAUACCUUUUAUCUAAUGAAAGUUUUUCCAAAAUUGCUAACAUUAUGCCUCAGUAUUCCUGAAGUUACGUAUAUGAUUUGCUAUGAUUUUUUUUAUCUCCCUUUGGUUAUCAUUCAUCAAAUGUUUUAAUGAAGAUGUUCAUGUUCU